Molecule: transfer RNA, 73 nt
Filed under: Candidatus Pacearchaeota archaeon
Lineage: Archaea; Nanobdellati
Description: tRNA-Asn
Rfam family: tRNA
About the family: Transfer RNA (tRNA) molecules are approximately 80 nucleotides in length. Their secondary structure includes four short double-helical elements and three loops (D, anti-codon, and T loops).
Source: RNAcentral
GUCCCGGUAGCUCAGUUGGUAGAGCGCGCGACUGUUAAUCGCGUUGUCGUUGGUUCGAGUCCAGCCCGGGACG